CAGUAAUAUACCAUAUAGAUUUAACUUCUUUUUAUCACCAAAACAUCACAUACACUAUGCUGCCUCAUUAAAUUUAGCAUAUGGGAAGAAAAUUGAGGAAACAAUUUUUUAAGCACUGUUGGUGGGCACACUGCUACCUCCAACCAAGGAGAACCUUGUUUAAAGGAAGAAGAGGACGAUUGAUAUUGGAUUUGGCAAAUGGAGGUCAUUGGUGACCUUGAAGAGCAAUGUCCACUGACCAUUGGAGUGGAAGCCAACUGAGGUGAACUGAAGAGAAAACAGUAGAUGAGGAAGCGCUGCAAGCACAUGAAAGAGCCCUUUUACAAGAUGGCUGACCUGGAGAUACAUUAAUUCAAGGGAUCCUGGAGCCCUGGGAUCGAGUCCCAUGUCUGGCUCCCUGCAUGGAGCUGCUUCUCUUUCUGCCUGUGUCUCUGCUUCUCUCUCUCUCUCUCUCGCAUGAAUAAAUAAAAUCUUUAAAAAAAAAA
Canis lupus familiaris (dog) is the source of this 485-nucleotide long non-coding RNA. RefSeq lists it as uncharacterized. The record is from RefSeq and is a predicted model, not a curated record. The transcript is spliced from 4 exons. Lineage: Eukaryota; Metazoa; Chordata; Mammalia; Carnivora; Canidae.